This 253-nucleotide ribosomal RNA is filed under the name uncultured bacterium. RNAcentral's name for it is "partial 16S ribosomal RNA". It matches the Rfam family "Bacterial small subunit ribosomal RNA", at positions 524 to 776 of the family's 1533-position model. The record is from RNAcentral.
UACGGAGGAUGCAAGCGUUAUCCGGAAUCAUUGGGCGUAAAGAGUCUGUAGGUGGCAUAUCAAGUCUGCUGUCAAAGACCGAAGCUCAACUUCGGGCCGGCGGUGGAAACUGAAAAGCUAGAGUAUAGUAGGGGUAGAGGGAAUUCCUAGUGUAGCGGUGAAAUGCGUAGAGAUUAGGAAGAACACCAGUGGCGAAGGCGCUCUACUGGGCAUAUACUGACACUGAGAGACGAAAGCUAGGGGAGCGAAAGGG